Molecule: ribosomal RNA, 401 nt
Filed under: uncultured bacterium
Lineage: Bacteria
Description: bacterial SSU rRNA
Rfam family: Bacterial small subunit ribosomal RNA
Source: RNAcentral
UGGGGAAUAUUGCACAAUGGGCGAAAGCCUGAUGCAGCAACGCCGCGUGAACGAUGAAGGCCUUCGGGUCGUAAAGCUCUGUCCUCAAGGAAGAUAAUGACGGUACUUGAGGAGGAAGCCCCGGCUAACUACGUGCCAGCAGCCGCGGUAAUACGUAGGGGGCUAGCGUUAUCCGGAAUUACUGGGCGUAAAGGGUGCGUAGGUGGUUUCUUAAGUCAGAGGUGAAAGGCUACGGCUCAACCGUAGUAAGCCUUUGAAACUGGGAAACUUGAGUGCAGGAGAGGAGAGUGGAAUUCCUAGUGUAGCGGUGAAAUGCGUAGAUAUUAGGAGGAACACCAGUUGCGAAGGCGGCUCUCUGGACUGUAACUGACACUGAGGCACGAAAGCGUGGGGAGCAAACA